RNAcentral lists this transfer RNA (76 nucleotides) under Hyphomonas sp. Its description in RNAcentral is "tRNA-Asn". It matches the Rfam family "tRNA". From Rfam's summary of the family: Transfer RNA (tRNA) molecules are approximately 80 nucleotides in length. Their secondary structure includes four short double-helical elements and three loops (D, anti-codon, and T loops). The record is from RNAcentral. Lineage: Bacteria; Pseudomonadati; Pseudomonadota; Alphaproteobacteria; Hyphomonadales; Hyphomonadaceae. RNAcentral also lists the same sequence under 4 other names.
UCCCCGGUAGCUCAGUCGGUAGAGCGUCGGACUGUUAAUCCGCAGGUCCCUGGUUCGAGUCCAGGCCGGGGAGCCA